RNAcentral lists this long non-coding RNA (808 nucleotides) under Volvox carteri. RNAcentral's name for it is "long non-coding RNA (VCAR_LNC000524)". The record is from RNAcentral. Lineage: Eukaryota; Viridiplantae; Chlorophyta; Chlorophyceae; Chlamydomonadales; Volvocaceae.
UUUUGUAAAGUGAUACAUACCCGCUCUUGCUCGGGCCUGUUCAGGCCUCCGGAAAAGGCAUCAUGCAUCCGUGUUGCACACAAUAUGCACAUUCGCGAUAGGCACAAAAGCGAUUACAACAACCCGUCCUGUACCGGCUGUACAACCAUGCUUCACCCAAUCCAUAUCCCUGCACCCACAUCCGCAACUCCAUCAAGCCACCAAGAGCACCUCAUCCCCGCCGUCAAUAGCAGGCGGCACCAAAACGCCCUCAACACCCUACGCUGCCUCUCCUAGACCUGCUCUUCCUCGCGCACGCGCCUGCCUAUGUGCUGCGUCUGAAAACCUAAUGGCAUAGCCUGAAAACCUGCACAUUUCACUAUCGCAUCUACUCGCUUUGGAGAACAGAUAUCCCCCACGAAGAAGUCCCCAAUAACUUGCAACCUCCUCCAACUCUUUCCACCCUCCCGACUUACCUAAAUAGCACAUUACCUCCCACCAACACCCCAAGACACACACACACACACACCACACACAUCCCACGGGUCCAAACCCACUGGGCACACGCACACAAAGUCUCGCACCAGGAUGCGGGGUUGUCCUCGCACAUGGCUUGGUCAUAACACAACAACUGCCCCCUCAUGCCCCCUCCUCACGCACUCACCGCAACUGCAUUACCGUUCCAACGCAGCCCUAACUGGCAAACACCAGUCCCAGCACAUCAACGGCACUCAUCCCACGCCCCCUUCCUGCCCCCUAGCUUUCCGAUCUGGCCCCCCCAAUCUCCUCACCUUACUUGCCGCUCCCGUUCCCGCCACCUCCCCCACGC